UUAAAGAUAAGCUAACCUAAGCUGACGGGUUCAUACCCCGUCUAUGAAAACCUCUCUUUAAA
RNAcentral lists this transfer RNA (62 nucleotides) under Proasellus aragonensis. RNAcentral describes it as "transfert RNA-M(ATG)". Lineage: Eukaryota; Metazoa; Arthropoda; Malacostraca; Isopoda; Asellidae. The record is from RNAcentral.